CAACUCCAUGUGGUGGAUCACUCGGCUCACGUGUCGAUGAAAAUUGCUGCCAACUGUGUGAAACAAUGUGAAACGCAGACUGCUUCGAUCAUCGGUACAUUGAACGCAUAAUGCGGCUUUGGGCUUGCCCUUAGCCACGUUCGAUCGAGUGUCGGC
This 156-nucleotide ribosomal RNA is filed under the name Gyrodactylus sp. MBS-2014. RNAcentral's name for it is "5.8S ribosomal RNA". It matches the Rfam family "5.8S ribosomal RNA". Rfam says of the family: 5.8S ribosomal RNA (5.8S rRNA) is a component of the large subunit of the eukaryotic ribosome. It is transcribed by RNA polymerase I as part of the 45S precursor that also contains 18S and 28S rRNA. Lineage: Eukaryota; Metazoa; Platyhelminthes; Monogenea; Gyrodactylidea; Gyrodactylidae. The record is from RNAcentral.